GACGAACGCUGGCGGCGUGCCUAAUACAUGCAAGUUGAGCGCUGAAGGUUGGUACUUGUACCAACUGGAUGAGCAGCGAACGGGUGAGUAACGCGUGGGGAAUCUGCCUUUGAGCGGGGGACAACAUUUGGAAACGAAUGCUAAUACCGCAUAAAAACUUUAAACACAAGUUUUAAGUUUGAAAGAUGCAAUUGCAUCACUCAAAGAUGAUCCCGCGUUGUAUUAGCUAGUUGGUGAGGUAAAGGCUCACCAAGGCGAUGAUACAUAGCCGACCUGAGAGGGUGAUCGGCCACAUUGGGACUGAGACACGGCCCAAACUCCUACGGGAGGCAGCAGGAGGGAAGCUUCGGCAAUGGACGAAAGUCUGACCGAGCAACGCCGCGUGAGUGAAGAAGGUUUUCGGAUCGUAAAACUCUGUUGGUAGAGAAGAACGUUGGUGAGAGUGGAAAGCUCAUCAAGUGACGGUAACUACCCAGAAAGGGACGGCUAACUACGUG
RNAcentral lists this ribosomal RNA (497 nucleotides) under uncultured bacterium. RNAcentral's name for it is "partial 16S ribosomal RNA". It matches the Rfam family "Bacterial small subunit ribosomal RNA", at positions 28 to 507 of the family's 1533-position model. The record is from RNAcentral.